Megalobrama amblycephala (Wuchang bream) is the source of this 4265-nucleotide long non-coding RNA. RefSeq lists it as uncharacterized. The transcript has 2 exons. NCBI's taxonomy places the organism in Eukaryota, Metazoa, Chordata, Actinopteri, Cypriniformes, Xenocyprididae. The record is from RefSeq and is a predicted model, not a curated record.
UAUAGGAAAAAGUGAGUCAGAUUGCUGCAAUUACUGUGGAAUAACAGAAACAGUUGAACAUUUUUUACAUUGUGAGGCAUAUAAUAGAGAAAGAAAUCAGCUUAUUGAAAAACUAAGAGAUGUGGAAAUCUAUGCCUUUACAGUUAAGAAUAUAUUUCAGAAUGCACAGAAACAGUUAGGGGUUUAUUUUCUGUUAGAAUAUUUGAGAGAUACAGAUUUGAUUAGAAGAAUUUAGUUGUUUAUUUUUUUAUUUUUAUAUACAAUACUUUUGUUCAUCGAGGCCUCACGCAACAAAUUGGAUGCCAGCUGCCGUAAAAACCCAAAGAAGAGGAAGAUCGAGGCCUCACACUCACUCCAUCCCAGUAGGUGGCGGAAAUGCACAUUAAGCUGGUUUGCCAACCGCCAUUAAAUACAAAAGAAGAAGAAGAAUCAUCAGCGUGGAGCGCGUGGGUGGCAGGUCUGUAGAGUGGACGCGUACAACUGGACAAAGCGAUAAAUCAUCGAAGCGUUUAGUUGUGGCAGUAGUGGUAAGGGAUAAUAUAAAAGGGAAUAUAUAAGGAUGAAAUUAAUGUUUGAACUUUUUCAACAAAAGCUUGUUUCUGUUUUGAAGCGUUUUCCUACAGGAGAGGAAAUGAGAUAAGUGUAAUCGCGGUGUGAUUUGGUAAAUAUUCGAAAAUUGUUAAACUGAUUAAAAUUGUUUUUGUUUUCAAAUAACGAGAGUAGAAUAAAAUAGGAAAAUGAACCAGGAUAGUAUGCACAUGGGAUGGUUCUUUUUUUUCCACCGGUAUGCAGCCAUGUGCGUCACCACCAGAGAAUGCGCAUUUGAUUUGAUGCAAUGGCGAUGUGAAUUAGGACUACAAUUUCGAUACAUCGUCAACACCGGAAGACACAUCUUGAAAUAAACCUAUACAUGUGGAAAAAGUAGUGUAAAUGGAAUAACGGACAACCAACCGUUUAAGUACUGAACAUAAAAGGUCUGUCGUAAAUUAGUAGCCUACUGUACUGUGCUGUGUUGUGUCUAGCUCUAGAUGGCAGAAGAGAAUGGCUUGUAUUGCGCUCAACACUGACAGUGGGUACUUCUAUACAGACAGAGAGAGAGAGAAAGCUGAUUAUUACAAAAAAUCGGCUUAUUGAAUUUACCCAUUGUCACGGUUCACAUGCAAGUCAGAAAGCCAAGUAAACUGCGUUUACGAGAUUUUAUUAAUAAAUUCAUUUAUUUCCCGGUAAAGACGUCAAUCUCGGACACUUUGUUACAAGAAUCUCUCGUUUUCUCCCCAAAUCCUCAUACCUCUCUCCAUGUUUGUUUUCACACGGAUGUAAUUGUCUCCCCUGUUCAAUUUACUUUGUAAAGCAGGUAAAUACAAUAUUUAUUGUCUGUCGAAAUUAUGGAACUUAUCACUCAGUGUUCCAGUUAAGGAACAUUUUGAUUAAGGCAAUGUAUGUUACAUAAUACAGACAAAUAUUGGUAACACGUGCGGAAGCUAGAUAUUUUACUUCAUAAUUUGUUGAAUAUGGACAUUUUUUAUUUUUUUACACAAACACAUCGCUUCAGUUCAGAAGGCUUUUAUUAACCCCUGGCUGUGUGGAGCACACAUUUAUGACGGAUGUGGAUGGAAGCACUUUCUUCAGCUUCAUACUCAUUUAUUAAUAUUUCUGUGAUCAUACACCUAAGAUGGCUUGCGGAUGCAUAUGAAAUGCUAUAAUCUUCAUCCCCCUGAAACAAAGAACAAGAAAAUGUUUAAUAGAUUAAAAAAUAAAGGUAAGUAGGAAUCCCAUGUUCAUUCUCAUUUAAAUGCAGUGACUUUUACAGUUUUAUAAAGUUACACACACUGUUCUGCCUGCUACUCAACAAAAACAUGUUAAUUUAAUUUCUGUAGAACAAACAGAUACCUGUGUGGUCUGUUGACUUUUGUUUAUGUUCGUUGAUGCAGCCCUUAAAUCUUCUGAGGAAAAAUAAAUAUUUUAAAAGAUUUGAUUUAUGCCUACUGUGUUUUUAUUUUAAAAAUGUAACAUAAAUGUUCAAUGAAGAUGUAAAAAUGUGUGUUGAACAUUAAAAUAAAUGUGGUUGUGUACAGACAUGAAUCGUGCAAAUGUGCUUGCAAGGCAACACCGAAUUGAUAGUCCCCAUACUUUUUUUAUCAUUGCCUUCCCCACAGUUUGCUCCAUUUAAUUCAGCUCAUGUUUAACAGUGUUGUAGUGAUGUCACUGUAAAAUUAGAAUUAUAAUAUACAUUCCUUGUAAGCAAUUUAUGCAUUUAUCUAAAACUUUAACACUAUUUAUUUGCUGCCUUGCAAGCACCAGUAUUUCCUUCAGGAAAUAAAAAUCCAGUUGUGUGCUAUUAACCUUGAAAUCUUUUUCUUAUCCAGCACAGACAAGCAUUUGACACUGAUAAUAGCGCUAGAGGCACACAGACGAUAGGCAGCCAAAGACUGAUACCGCAGGUCACCGGAUCAUGACUGAAAUUUUUUGUGUCCUGUUGCGCAUCUGUACUUUCAUCUGCAAAUAUAGCAGGAUUAUGAAUAUAUGGCAGGAUUUUAGUUGUGUCAGUUAAGGAAAAACUGCACUUAAUUUAGAAUUAGAAAUGUUUUUCACUUUUGGUCACUCAACAACUGUAAAACAUUUUUUGAAAUCUUACAUAUCUGCACUCUACCUUCAAAGUCCAGUUUAGUACAGUGAGUUUGUUCAAGUCUGCAUUCAGUGCAGCAGUAGAGCAUCAGAUCAGUGUCAGAGAUGUUCAUCAGAAGCAGAGAGUGAGUGUUUGUGGAAGAACUGAGAGCUUUUAUCCGUCCUGCGUAACUUGGGUGAAUAUUAGUGGGCUCUGGUUUAGGUUUACCUCCAUACAAAUGUUCCAUUUUCAAAAUCCUGACAAAUGUUUGGUUUCCAUUUGUAAUGAUCCAGGUGAUCUCUUUAUCAUCUUUAAUGUUACAGGGGAGUGUUGUGUUUCCUCCUGGAUGAACUUUCACUGAUGAUCCUUCAGUGAGAGUCAAUGAGAUAAAAGUAAAAUCUGGAAAAGAAACGGUACAAUCUAAGUAUAAUGAAUACACACCUAUCUGACAAUUAAGUACAGACAUACAUACUUAGAUAUCAAGGUGCUCAGCAUUGAUUUCCCUUCAGUUCAGGUCAUCAGUUUUUAUAGUCCCUUUAAAUGAGAAUGAUACUGUAUGUGCCCUGUCACUUUUAUUUGAACACCCUGCAUCUUACGAUGCAAAUGUCCUAUGUAAAUGGUUAUUUUUUUUAAGUCGAGAAUUGUCCCUGCUUACUAAAAGUAUGAGCGAGCUACUUCUAAGCCUUGCAAAUGUUACAGUGCUCAAUCUGAAAUCUGCAGAAUAGCGAUUUAUGCUUUUUUAAGGUAUGUACAUACAGUUAUUCACAUUGGUUAUAAAAUUGUGUUUGAUGACAUUGUUUAGUUAAGUACAAUAACUUAAUUUAAAUGAUUCGCUGGCAAAAUACGGCUUGCUGUAAAUGGACUUAAAGACAUAUUAUUUCCAAGCAUACUGUCCCUCCGAGCAAAACUAUGCAUGAUAUACAAUUUCUGCUAAUAAUCCAAGAUAUGUUCAUAUUUAAUAUUUACUACAUAAUUAUGUUAAUAAUUACUGCCGGAAGUUAGUUAUUUUAGUUUAUAAAGUUUUAAAUAUGGAUAUUUUUCUUACAAAAUCCCAUCACUUCACUUCAGAAGGCCUUUAUUAACCACCUGGAGCCAUAUGGAUUAUUUUUUACGAUGGAUAGUAUGUUUUGGGCCUUGAAACAUGCCCCCCCAUUCACUACCAUUAUAAAGCUAUAGGAUAGCCAGGAUAUUUUUAAAUAUAUCUUCGAUUGUCUUUGUCUAAAAGAAGAUAGUCAUAUACACCUAGGAUGACUUGAGGGUGAGUAAAUCAUGGGAUAAUGAUCAUUUUUGGGUGAACUAUCCCUUUAAGGUGUUCCCAGAGUGUUCCUGAGUGAGUUUUGUAUUAAAGACUGUUUUCUAAUUUAUUUAUCUUUGUGCGCUACAUAUAUAAACAACCUGUGACUGUACAGUUUAUUAUUUGCAGCAUUUUCACUGCAGCUGCAGAGACGCGCGAGUAUUCACACUGGAAGCGUUUGUACAGCGUCACAGCAGCGGCUCCAAGAUACAUAUAAAGUGAGCAUUUCUUUACAAAGACAGCUAUAAAUUAGUUUUUAUAAGUUGGUCAUUUAUAAACUUGAUAGUCUUGAAAGUUUGUUAACAUGGGAAGGUGUACAACAUUCUCAUAUAAACGUAAAUACAUAAAUAAAUAAAAAUAAAUAAA